RNAcentral lists this long non-coding RNA (895 nucleotides) under Triticum aestivum (bread wheat). Its description in RNAcentral is "long non-coding RNA (TAES_LNC021739)". The record is from RNAcentral. Lineage: Eukaryota; Viridiplantae; Streptophyta; Magnoliopsida; Poales; Poaceae.
CGAAUCAACCUGUGGUUGAGUUGGUUAGGUGGACAGUGGUAUCCCCAACCCACCAGGGUUCAAAUCCUGGUGCUCGCAUUAUUCUUGGAUUUAUUUCAGGAUUUCCGGCGAUGCGCUUUCAGUGGGAGGAGACGUUCCCGUCGACGACGAGGCGCCUACGGUGACUUCGUAAAUUUCAAGAUGAUAUGCCGGCUCAGUCUCUCGGAGGUGCUCAUAGGGGUAGGGUGUGCGUGCGUGCGUUCAUAGGGGUGAGUGUAUGCGCGUGUAUAUGAGCGCUUGUGUCUGUACUGAUGCUCAAAAAAAAAAGUUGAGUCAUCUAUUUUGGAACGGAGGGAGUACAAGUCAUACGACAUGCAUGAUUUAAUUCUGGCGUGAUAUCUUUCUUUUAAGAAAAAAAAAGUCCGAUGUGAUUCUUUUUUGCGGGGAAAAAGUCCGACGUGAUAGAACAAACAGUACUACUGCACGUACGUUUAGAGACAAAUUUGUCCAUGUAUAAAUACAUGUGUACAAAAACAAUACGAGGGCCCAUGCAAACAAAUAAGGGCUGCAUGUACGGCCAUUGAACCCCUGCAAAAAAAAGUACUUCCAUUGAAACGUGGAUGCAAACAAAAAAUAUAUAAGGGCGUCCUUCAGUAAUGGGAAACAAUAUUUAUUCAUCAACCAGAUAUUGCAUCCUUGGAACUUUUAUAUGCAUGUGGAAAGAAAGAAUGGGCACAUAGAAAGUUGAAGAGAUUUGAUCGGAUAAGAGGGCACUACAAUAAAAAUAAGGAAAUUAAUUUUUAAAUUCAUAUUCGACCGGAGAUUCAUUCAAUCUUCUUAGUUUCCAUGCCAGUCACGAUGGAUGAUGCUUUGAAGGGGGUGUGCCGAUGGUUCGUCGAUGCAGACCAUCUCAAAC